Molecule: ribosomal RNA, 497 nt
Filed under: uncultured bacterium
Lineage: Bacteria
Description: partial 16S ribosomal RNA
Rfam family: Bacterial small subunit ribosomal RNA
Source: RNAcentral
GAUGAACGCUGGCGGCGUGCCUAAUACAUGCAAGUCGAGCGAACAGAUGAGGAGCUUGCUCCUCUGACGUUAGCGGCGGACGGGUGAGUAACACGUGGAUAACCUACCUAUAAGACUGGGAUAACUUCGGGAAACCGCAGCUAAUACCGGAUAAUAUAUUGAACCGCAUGGUUCAAUAGUUCAAGACGGUUUUGCUGUCACUUAUAGAUGGAUCCGCGCCGCAUUAGCUAGUUGGUAAGGUAACGGCUUACCAAGGCAACGAUGCGUAGCCGACCUGAGAGGGUGAUCGGCCACACUGGAACUGAGACACGGUCCAGACUCCUACGGGAGGCAGCAGUAGGGAAUCUUCCGCAAUGGGCGAAAGCCUGACGGAGCAACGCCGCGUGAGUGAUGAAGGUCUUCGGAUCGUAAAACUCUGUUAUUAGGGAAGAACAAAUGUGUAAGUAACUAUGCACGUCUUGACGGUACCUAAUCAGAAAGCCACGGCUAACUACGUG